CCUACGGGGGGCAGCAGUCGAGAAUCAUUCACAAUGGGGGAAACCCUGAUGGCGCGACGCCGCGUGGGGGAAUGAAGGUCUGCGGAUUGUAAACCCCUGUCAUGUGGGAGCAAAUUAAAAAGAUAGUACCACAAGAGGAAGAGACGGCUAACGCGGUGCCAGCAGCCGCGGUAAUCCAGAGGUCUCAAGCGUUGUUCGGAACCACGGGGCGUAAAGAGUGCGUAGGCGUUUUCGUAAGUCGUGUGUGAAAGGCGCGGGCUCAACCCGCGGACGGCACCUGAUACUGCGAGACUAGAGUAAUGGAGGGGGAACCGGAUUUCUCGGUGUAGCCGUGAAAUGCGUAGAUAUCGAGAGGAACACUCGUGGCGAAGGCGGGUUCCUGGACCUUACCUGCCGCUGAGGCACGAAGGCCCGGGGAGCGAAAGGGAUUAGAUACCCGGGUAGUC
RNAcentral lists this ribosomal RNA (446 nucleotides) under uncultured bacterium. Its description in RNAcentral is "partial 16S ribosomal RNA". It matches the Rfam family "Bacterial small subunit ribosomal RNA", at positions 338 to 795 of the family's 1533-position model. The record is from RNAcentral.